RNAcentral lists this small RNA (441 nucleotides) under Histoplasma capsulatum. RNAcentral's name for it is "hypothetical RNA". RNAcentral also lists the same sequence under 1 other name. Lineage: Eukaryota; Fungi; Ascomycota; Eurotiomycetes; Onygenales; Ajellomycetaceae. The record is from RNAcentral.
GGACGGGGUGGUGUGAUUUUGGGAAUGCGCGCCUCAUUCCCUCGGUGGUCUCCUCCUCGACAGGAACGGUUCCAUCAGUUAUUCAACGUGCUAUGGCACCUAUAAUUUGCAUGGACAGUACUAGUAUGAUAUCGUGAGAUAUAAGCAGCCUGUGUCCGAGGGGCCCUUCCCAGAUUGGAGAAGAAGGAUAAUUAUUAUGGGAAUUGCCACAUUGAUAUCGCUUUGAGUGGUAUAUUGGAGUUGACGAAUUUAUUUUUAGGUGUUGCUAACUAACAUAGAGAUGGUCCGAGCUUUGGGUGAAAUAAGGUUUGGGUUUUGUCCCGGACCGCGGUUCACUGAUGUCAAAUAGGACUAGUUCACAGAUUAGGUCUUCCCGUGACCGCGGCGGUGGUCUGUGCGGAGUUUACCACAAACGACAAUGUUUAUUGUUCUCACGAAGGA